RNAcentral lists this unclassified non-coding RNA (525 nucleotides) under Hevea brasiliensis (rubber tree). Lineage: Eukaryota; Viridiplantae; Streptophyta; Magnoliopsida; Malpighiales; Euphorbiaceae. The record is from RNAcentral.
CGCCGCUAGGGUUUCAUCGUAGAGCUAGCCAGAAGCUGAGAAGAUGGUGCUCAAGACUGAACUUUGCCGUUUUAGCGGAGCCAAGAUCUACCCAGGGAAGGGGAUCAGAUUUGUUCGAGCUGAUUCUCAGGUCUUUCUCUUUGCCAACUCUAAAUGCAAGCACUACUUCCACAACCGCCUCAAGCCUGCAAAGCUUGCCUGGACAGCAAUGUACAGGAAACAGCACAAGAAGGAUAUCCAUGCUGAGGCAGUGAAGAAGAGGCGUCGCACCACGAAGAAGCCUUAUUCAAGGUCCAUUGUUGGUGCAACCUUGGAAGUAAUCCAGAAGAAGAGAGCUGAGAAGCCGGAAGUUCGAGAUGCUGCUAGGGAAGCAGCUCUGCGUGAGAUAAAGGAGCGGGUGAAAAAGACCAAGGAUGAAAAGAAAGCUAAGAAGGCUGAGCUUGCCUCUAAGACUCAGAAGACCCAGACCAAGGGUGGUGGCAUGACCAAGGCUGCCAAGGGACCUAAGCUUGGUGGUGGUGGUGG